GGAGAGGUGGCAGAGUGGUCGAUUGCACCGGUCUUGAAAACCGGAGUGUCCGCAAGGGCACCGUGAGUUCGAAUCUCACCCUCUCCGCCC
Molecule: transfer RNA, 90 nt
Filed under: Candidatus Vogelbacteria bacterium
Lineage: Bacteria; Candidatus Vogeliibacteriota
Description: tRNA-Ser
Rfam family: tRNA
About the family: Transfer RNA (tRNA) molecules are approximately 80 nucleotides in length. Their secondary structure includes four short double-helical elements and three loops (D, anti-codon, and T loops). Further hydrogen bonds mediate the characteristic L-shaped molecular structure. tRNAs have two regions of fundamental functional importance: the anti-codon, which is responsible for specific mRNA codon recognition, and the 3' end, to which the tRNAs corresponding amino acid is attached (by aminoacyl-tRNA synthetases). tRNAs cope with the degeneracy of the genetic code in two manners: having more than one tRNA (with a specific anti-codon) for a particular amino acid; and 'wobble' base-pairing, i.e. permitting non-standard base-pairing at the 3rd anti-codon position.
Source: RNAcentral